This 113-nucleotide small RNA is filed under the name Mytilus galloprovincialis (Mediterranean mussel). The record is from RNAcentral. Lineage: Eukaryota; Metazoa; Mollusca; Bivalvia; Mytilida; Mytilidae.
UGGAUGACGAGUUGGAGAGUCGAUAUGAUAUUGUUCACCUCUCUUUUAUAAGACAUGGAUGACUUAUAAAAAAGAGGUGAACAAUAUCAUAGCGACUCUCCAACUCGUCAUCC